Symphalangus syndactylus (siamang) is the source of this 742-nucleotide long non-coding RNA. RefSeq lists it as uncharacterized. The record is from RefSeq and is a predicted model, not a curated record. Lineage: Eukaryota; Metazoa; Chordata; Mammalia; Primates; Hylobatidae.
CCAUUCUCAUGCUGCUAUAAAGAACUGCCUGAUAUUGGGUAAUUUAUAAAGAAAAGAAGUUUAAUUGACUCACAGUUCCACAUGGCUGUGGAGGCCUCAGGAAACUUGCAAUCGUGGUGGAAGAGGAAGCAAACCUGUCCUUCUUCACCCGGCAGCAGGACAGAGAUGUGCAGAAUGAAGCAGGAGUGAAAGGAGCAAAGGAAGUAAGAAGGGCUUGGGUCGGACGCGGUGGCUCAUGCCUGUAAUCUCAGCACUUUGGGAUGCCGAGAUGGGUGGAUCACCUGAGGUCAGGAGUUCGAGACCAGCCUGGCCAACAUGGUGAAACCCUCGUCACUACUAAAAAUACAAAAAAUUAGCUGGGCAUGGUGGUGGACACCUGUAAUCCCAGCUACUCGGGAGGCUGAGGCAGGAGAAUUGCUUGAACCCUGGAGGCAGAGGCUGCAGAGAGCCCAGAUCAUGCCACUGCACUCCAGCCUGGGCAACAACAGGAAAACUCCAUCUCAAACAGAAAAAAAUAAGAAGGGGAGGUGACCAAACAGAACUUCUCCAGUACAAGUCUGUCUGUCGUUCCAUUUGAUAUUGUAUUGUAGGCAUGAGCCCUGCCUUCCAGUUCCUUGGCAGUGGUGAAGUGGUAUGGAGCUGGGGCAGGGAGGUGGCGCAUUAUAGGACUGUGAGAACACUGCUCCUUUAUACAUAAAAUUCCUACCCAGUGGAUCACUUGAGGUCAAGAGUUUGAGACCAG